UACGUAGGGACCAAGCGUUGUUCGGAUUUACUGGGCGUAAAGGGCGCGUAGGCGGCGUGUUAAGUCACUUGUGAAAUCUCUAAGCUUAACUUAGAACGGUCAAGUGAUACUGAUGUGCUAGAGUGCAGAAGGGGCAACCGGAAUUCUUGGUGUAGCGGUGAAAUGCGUAGAUAUCAAGAGGAGCACCUGAGGUGAAGACGGGUUGCUGGGCUGACACUGACGCUGAGGCGCGAAAGCUAGGGUAGCAAACGGG
This 253-nucleotide ribosomal RNA is filed under the name uncultured bacterium. Its description in RNAcentral is "partial 16S ribosomal RNA". It matches the Rfam family "Bacterial small subunit ribosomal RNA", at positions 524 to 776 of the family's 1533-position model. The record is from RNAcentral.